UGGGGAAUAUUGGACAAUGGAGGAAACUCUGAUCCAGCAAUUCUGUGUGUGUGAAGAAGGUUUUAGGACUGUAAAACACUUUUAGUAGGGAAGAAAAAAAUGACGGUACCUACAGAAGAAGCAACGGCUAAAUACGUGCCAGCAGCCGCGGUAAUACGUAUGUUGCGAGCGUUAUCCGGAAUUAUUGGGCUUAAAGGGCAUCUAGGCGGUAAGACAAGUUGAAGGUGAAAACCUGAGGCUCAACCAUAGGCUUGCCUACAAAACUGUUGAACUAGAGUACUGGAAAGGUGGGUGGAACUACACGAGUAGAGGUGAAAUUCGUAGAUAUGUGUAGGAAUGCCGAUGAUGAAGAUAACUCACUGGACAGAAACUGACGCUGAAGUGCGAAAGCUAGGGGAGCAAACAGG
Molecule: ribosomal RNA, 407 nt
Filed under: Verrucomicrobiota bacterium
Lineage: Bacteria; Pseudomonadati; Verrucomicrobiota
Description: Verrucomicrobia bacterium partial 16S ribosomal RNA
Rfam family: Bacterial small subunit ribosomal RNA
Source: RNAcentral